Molecule: ribosomal RNA, 492 nt
Filed under: uncultured bacterium
Lineage: Bacteria
Description: partial 16S ribosomal RNA
Rfam family: Bacterial small subunit ribosomal RNA
Source: RNAcentral
AGUGAACGCUGGCGGCAUGCCUAACACAUGCAAGUCGAACGGCAACACAGUAAGCUUUUUCUCUUACCGUUGGCGGGUGACGGACGGGUGACGCGUGCAUCAGCUUCUUCUUUUUCUUGGGUAACUACGUAAAGAAACUUAUGCUACUACCUCAUACGUUCUACCGCUUAAAGCAAUAGUUCUUCACAGCUUUCGCGUUUCUAUUAGCCGGUGUCGCAUUAGCUAGUUGGCUUGGUAACGGCCCACCAAGGCGACGAUGCGUAGCUUAUCUGAGAGGAUGAUCGGCCACACUGGAACUGAGACACGGUCCAGACUCCUACGGGAGGCAGCAGUAGGGAAUAUUGGGCAAUGGGCGAAAGCCUGACGCAGCAACACCGCGUGAGUGAAGAAGGUCUUCGGGUCGUAAAGCCCUUUUGUCAGGAAAGAAAAAAAGCAGAAGAAACCACGGAUGUUUUGACGGUACCUAAAGAAAAAGCAACGGCUAACUUCGUG